Molecule: ribosomal RNA, 427 nt
Filed under: uncultured bacterium
Lineage: Bacteria
Description: bacterial SSU rRNA
Rfam family: Bacterial small subunit ribosomal RNA
Source: RNAcentral
GUGGGGAAUCUUGCGCAAUGGGCGAAAGCCUGACGCAGCAACGCCGCGUGCGGGAUGAAGGCCUUCGGGUUGUAAACCGCUUUCAGUGGGGACGAACCAAGACGGUACCCACAGAAGAAGCCCCGGCCAACUACGUGCCAGCAGCCGCGGUAACACGUAGGGGGCAAGCGUUGUCCGGAUUCAUUGGGCGUAAAGAGCUCGUAGGCGGUUCGAUAAGUCGGGUGUGAAACCUCCAGGCUCAACCUGGAGACGCCACCCGAUACUGUCGUGACUAGAGUCCAGUAGGGGAGCGUGGAAUUCCUGGUGUAGCGGUGAAAUGCGCAGAUAUCAGGAGGAACACCAGUGGCGAAGGCGGCGCUCUGGGCUGGAACUGACGCUGAGGAGCGAAAGCGUGGGGAGCGAACAGGAUUAGAUACCCCAGUAGUCC